CGCACUCUUCCCAUGCCACUUCCGUAAUUUCCUAUCGCUCCCCCCUCUCUCUCCGCGUGGGAUCGUUCUCACCACAACCGCAGCUCGCGCCCUCCCGCCGGACACCUGCAGGUGUCUGUGUUCGGAAGAAAGCCUCUCUCGCCGCUCCCACGCCCCAGCGCCCUUCUCAGCACACGAUCCCUCCUCCCACCCCCUCGACCCAACAGCAAAGAUGCCCGAGAAGUGCAUCGGCAUCACCACGGUUCAGGUGGGCCACGUCGUGGGCAGGGGUGGCUCGACGCUCAAAGGCAUCCAGGAGCGCACCGGGGCGACUCUGUGUAUCGUGGAAGACGGCCCGCAGGUGAAGAUUACCGCUGACGACGCUGCCAAGGUGGCCGCCGCGGAGGCGGAGGUGCAGAAAAUCGUUGCCAACCAGCAGAAGCCCGACUACGAAGGACCGUGCGGCGCGCGCCUGCGCAAGGAGGCGGACGAACUCGGCCAGAAGCGCUCGAAACUCUUCGAAGAGGCGACCAAGAUGCGGGAGGCCGGUGACCAUGAGGGCGCGAACAAAUUAGUCGCGAUGGCCAAGAAGGCUGGCGAAGACAUGAAGGCCCGCCACCGCGAGGCAGCCUUGGCGAUUGCCAAGCACAACAACGAGGAAAAGGGCAAGGGUCAGAACUACUUCGACAUGCACGGCCUGCACCUAGAGGAGGCGAUAGAGAUGCUGAAGGUGCGCAUGGACAAGCUGGAAGAGAAGCCGGUGGGCUCGACGACGGAGUUCGAAGUAAUUCCAGGCGCCGGCCACCACUCCGCCCCUGGAACGCAGAAACUGAGGCGCGCCACACUAGAGUACGUGCAGUUGAAGGGCUACCCGUACGAAGAGGUCAACGCUGGCGCGUUCCUGGUGAAGGUGCCCGGCUUAAGCGGGGGUGUCCUCUCGAAGCCGGAGGAUGGCGACAAGGCGCCGACUAAGCCCAAGGAGUCUGCGACGGGGGUGGCGAACAAGCCCAAGGCUUUGGCUUCAGCGGCGACCAGCAAGAGCAAGGGCCAGUCCUGCUGCGCGUGCAUGUAAAUCUCAGGAAGGUAGGCCAGCAUGUGCAAGGUGUGUGCGACGCUGCUGCCGAUGCUUACGCCGGCAUCCUGCUCAUGAACGUGUGGCGCACAUCUGCGCCUCUUAUGGCCUAUGCCCGUGCGUAGGGGUGUGGGUCCGCUCUUUGUCUUUCGGUACGCCGAUGGAUUGCCUACUUGGUCACAAAAACCGCCUCGACGAGUGGGGCUCCGUGUGUGCACAUGCUGACUGCGGACGCUCCCUAGCAAUUCUGUGUUUGCGUGUUGCUAUCCUCUCCCCACCCCCUCUUCUUCGUUUUUUUUUCGCGUCCACACGUGAGCGUUUCGCUUACUCCUCUUCCUCUCUCACAAUGCGCGGCGUUGUUCAUGUUUGCGUGUGGCUCCGUCUACCCGUAUACCCAAUCCCCACCAUCACCACCACCCCAACGUCCCCCCCUCCCACCGCUCCUCUGCCACGUUCACCUUUGUUUGUUUAUUGAUGCGAAUCAUCCUCUUUUUUUUUAAG
This 1552-nucleotide unclassified non-coding RNA is filed under the name Leishmania donovani. RNAcentral's name for it is "gene:LdHU3.31.5070(CDS-product:KH_domain/Domain_o f_unknown_function_(DUF1771)/Smr_domain_containing_protein_ putative)". The record is from RNAcentral. Lineage: Eukaryota; Euglenozoa; Kinetoplastea; Trypanosomatida; Trypanosomatidae.